UGGACAUUCAGGAAGAUGCUGUGAUCACUGAAUGGAGUGUCUGCUCAGGUCUGGGAACAUGAAGUCUUCACAUACUCUUGGUCUUGUGCUCACUGUGAGACACAAAUUGGAUCAAGCUGCCUGUCAAACUAUCCAUGUGAAGCAAGAUGAUGGAGGUUGCCAUCAAAUUGUAGAGGUCCUCUGGAUUUUGAGUUGAGGUAUCAUCAAAACUGCUGGAUCUGCUACUUUGUGGCAUUUGUGAUGCUGGACACAUCGGAGUGACAACAUGGAAGCUAUCAACCAUCUUAUGCUGCAAAUACUGACUGUUACAGUUAAAAGUCUCCUACAGCUCAAUACAGACUUUGGAAACAUGUAAAGAAUAUUAAACCUGUCAUAACUAAUG
Long non-coding RNA from Scomber japonicus (chub mackerel), 382 nucleotides. RefSeq lists it as uncharacterized. The transcript is spliced from 6 exons. The record is from RefSeq and is a predicted model, not a curated record. Lineage: Eukaryota; Metazoa; Chordata; Actinopteri; Scombriformes; Scombridae.